UCCGAGUUGACCCCGGCAGUCUCCUGCGAGUCCCCAACAUGACUUGCUGGCAACACAGGAUAAGGGUUGCGCUCGUUGCGGGACUUAACCCAACAUCUCACGACACGAGCUGACGACAACCAUGCACCACCUGUCUCCAAUGCUCCGAAGAGGGGCACUAUCUCUAAUGCUUUCAUUGGGAUGUCAAGACCUGGUAAGGUUCUUCGCGUUGCUUCGAAUUAAACCACAUACUCCACUGCUUGUGCGGGUCCCCGUCAAUUCCUUUGAGUUUCAGUCUUGCGACCGUACUCCCCAGGCGGAAUGCUUAAUGUGUUAACUUCGGCACCAAGGGUAUUGAAACCCCUAACACCUAGCAUUCAUCGUUUACGGCGUGGACUAC
Molecule: unclassified non-coding RNA, 379 nt
Filed under: uncultured Paenibacillaceae bacterium
Lineage: Bacteria; Bacillati; Bacillota; Bacilli; Caryophanales; Paenibacillaceae
Description: contains 16S-23S intergenic spacer region
Source: RNAcentral